Molecule: unclassified non-coding RNA, 400 nt
Filed under: Pleosporales sp. KO-groupD 2014
Lineage: Eukaryota; Fungi; Ascomycota; Dothideomycetes; Pleosporales
Description: partial contains ITS1, 5.8S rRNA and ITS2
Rfam family: 5.8S ribosomal RNA (bases 176-329)
Source: RNAcentral
UCCGUAGGUGAACCUGCGGAAGGAUCAUUACGAAAUUAUAGGCCGGUCUGACCGGUUCUAUUCUACCCUGUUUUUUGCGCACCUUUUGUUUCCUCGGUGGGCUUGCCUGCCGAUAGGACAAUUUCAACUCUUCAUAGUUUUUAGCAAUCAGCUUCAAAAUUUACUAAAUUGUAACAACUUUCAACAACGGAUCUCUUGGUUCUGGCAUCGAUGAAGAACGCAGCGAAAUGCGAUAAGUAGUGUGAAUUGCAGAAUUCCGUGAAUCAUCGAAUCUUUGAACGCACAUUGCGCCUAUUGGUAUUCCAAUAGGCAUGCCUGUUCGAGCGUCAUUUAAAUCUUCAAGCCUUGCUUGGUGUUGGGUGCUGUCUCGGCGAAUUCCCCUUUUUUGGGGGGGGUUUUC